AGUGAACGCUAGCGGUGCGCCUAACACAUGCAAGUCGAACGCGAUCUACCAUGAACUUUGAAGUGCUUGCACGGAAGAGGAAUUGGAUUCUAGAUUGAGUGGCGAACGGGUGAGUAACACGUUGGCAUCUGCCCCCAAGUCAGGGAUAGCCAUCCGAAAGGAUGAUUAAUACCGGAUAGUCUCUUCGGAGUAAAAAUUUAUUGCUUGGGGAGGAGCCUGCGGUCUAUCAGCUUGUUGGUGAGGUAAUAGCUCACCAAGGCUAUGACGGAUAACUGGUCUGAGAGGAUGACCAGUCACAAUGGGACUGAGACACGGCCCAUACUCCUACGGGAGGCAGCAGUGAGGAAUCUUCCACAAUGGACGAAAGUCUGAUGGAGCGACACCGCGUGAAGGAUGACGGUCUAACGAUUGUAAACUUCUUUUCUGAAGGAGCAUAAUGAGAGUACUUCAGGAAUAAGGGACGGCUAAUUACG
This 473-nucleotide ribosomal RNA is filed under the name uncultured bacterium. RNAcentral's name for it is "bacterial SSU rRNA". It matches the Rfam family "Bacterial small subunit ribosomal RNA", at positions 29 to 505 of the family's 1533-position model. The record is from RNAcentral.